RNAcentral lists this ribosomal RNA (499 nucleotides) under uncultured bacterium. RNAcentral describes it as "bacterial SSU rRNA". It matches the Rfam family "Bacterial small subunit ribosomal RNA", at positions 15 to 507 of the family's 1533-position model. The record is from RNAcentral.
GAUCCUGGCUCAGAAUGAACGUUGGCGGCGUGGAUUAGGCAUGCAAGUCGAGCGAGAAUUUGCGAUUGGAAGCUUCGGCCGAAGAAAGUGAAGGAAAGCGGCAAACGGCGUAGUAAGGCGUAGGUACGUACCCUCGGGUCGGGAAUAGCCAUGGGAAACUGUGGGUAAUGCCCGAUAAUCUCUGCGGAGCAAAGGUGUGAUUCCGCCGGAGGAGCGGCUUACGUGAUAUUAGCUAGUUGGUGGGGUAAUGGCCUACCAAGGCAACGAUGUCUAGGGGGUGUGAGAGCAUGGCCCCCACGACCGGAACUGAGACACUGUCCGGACACCUACGGGUGGCUGCAGUCGAGAAUCUUCCGCAAUGGGCGAAAGCCUGACGGAGCGACGCCGCGUGGUGGAUGAAGGCCCUUGGGUUGUAAACACCUGUCAGAGGGGAUGAAAUCAUGGUUGGCAAUCCUUCCAUGUUGACAGAGCCUCAGAGGAAGCACGGGCUAAGUACGUG